CAUAGGUUAAUGAGGCGAACCGGGGGAACUGAAACAUCUAAGUACCCCGAGGAAAAGAAAUCAACCGAGAUUCCCCCAGUAGCGGCGAGCGAACGGGGAGGAGCCCAGAGCCUGAAUCAGUGUGUGUGUUAGUGGAAGCGUCUGGAAAGGCGCGCGAUACAGGGUGACAGCCCCGUACACAAAAAUGCACAUACUGUGAGCUCGAUGAGUAGGGCGGGACACGUGGUAUCCUGUCUGAAUAUGGGGGGACCAUCCUCCAAGGCUAAAUACUCCUGACUGACCGAUAGUGAACCAGUACCGUGAGGGAAAGGCGAAAAGAACCCCGGCGAGGGGAGUGAAAAAGAACCUGAAACCGUGUACGUACAAGCAGUGGGAGCCUCUUAAUGGGGUGACUGCGUACCUUUUGUAUAAUGGGUCAGCGACUUAUAUUCUGUAGCAAGGUUAACCGAAUAGGGGAGCCGAAGGGAAACCGAGUCUUAACUGGGCGUUAAGUUGCAGGGUAUAGACCCGAAACCCGGUGAUCUAGCCAUGGGCAGGUUGAAGGUUGGGUAACACUAACUGGAGGACCGAACCGACUAAUGUUGAAAAAUUAGCGGAUGACUUGUGGCUGGGGGUGAAAGGCCAAUCAAACCGGGAGAUAGCUGGUUCUCCCCGAAAGCUAUUUAGGUAGCGCCUCGUGAAUUCAUCUCCGGGGGUAGAGCACUGUUUCGGCAAGGGGGUCAUCCCGACUUACCAACCCGAUGCAAACUGCGAAUACCGGAGAAUGUUAUCACGGGAGACACACGGCGGGUGCUAACGUCCGUCGUGAAGAGGGAAACAACCCAGACCGCCAGCUAAGGUCCCAAAGUCAUGGUUAAGUGGGAAACGAUGUGGGAAGGCCCAGACAGCCAGGAUGUUGGCUUAGAAGCAGCCAUCAUUUAAAGAAAGCGUAAUAGCUCACUGGUCGAGUCGGCCUGCGCGGAAGAUGUAACGGGGCUAAACCAUGCACCGAAGCUGCGGCAGCGACACUAUGUGUUGUUGGGUAGGGGAGCGUUCUGUAAGCCUGUGAAGGUGUACUGUGAGGUAUGCUGGAGGUAUCAGAAGUGCGAAUGCUGACAUAAGUAACGAUAAAGCGGGUGAAAAGCCCGCUCGCCGGAAGACCAAGGGUUCCUGUCCAACGUUAAUCGGGGCAGGGUGAGUCGACCCCUAAGGCGAGGCCGAAAGGCGUAGUCGAUGGGAAACAGGUUAAUAUUCCUGUACUUGGUGUUACUGCGAAGGGGGGACGGAGAAGGCUAUGUUGGCCGGGCGACGGUUGUCCCGGUUUAAGCGUGUAGGCUGGUUUUCCAGGCAAAUCCGGAAAAUCAAGGCUGAGGCGUGAUGACGAGGCACUACGGUGCUGAAGCGACAAAUGCCCUGCUUCCAGGAAAAGCCUCUAAGCAUCAGGUAACAUCAAAUCGUACCCCAAACCGACACAGGUGGUCAGGUAGAGAAUACCAAGGCGCUUGAGAGAACUCGGGUGAAGGAACUAGGCAAAAUGGUGCCGUAACUUCGGGAGAAGGCACGCUGAUAUGUAGGUGAAGCGACUUGCUCGUGGAGCUGAAAUCAGUCGAAGAUACCAGCUGGCUGCAACUGUUUAUUAAAAACACAGCACUGUGCAAACACGAAAGUGGACGUAUACGGUGUGACGCCUGCCCGGUGCCGGAAGGUUAAUUGAUGGGGUUAGCGGUAACGCGAAGCUCUUGAUCGAAGCCCCGGUAAACGGCGGCCGUAACUAUAACGGUCCUAAGGUAGCGAAAUUCCUUGUCGGGUAAGUUCCGACCUGCACGAAUGGCGUAAUGAUGGCCAGGCUGUCUCCACCCGAGACUCAGUGAAAUUGAACUCGCUGUGAAGAUGCAGUGUACCCGCGGCAAGACGGAAAGACCCCGUGAACCUUUACUAUAGCUUGACACUGAACAUUGAGCCUUGAUGUGUAGGAUAGGUGGGAGGCUUUGAAGUGU
This 1976-nucleotide ribosomal RNA is filed under the name Escherichia coli. RNAcentral describes it as "partial 23S ribosomal RNA". It matches the Rfam family "Bacterial large subunit ribosomal RNA", at positions 165 to 2165 of the family's 2925-position model. The record is from RNAcentral. Lineage: Bacteria; Pseudomonadati; Pseudomonadota; Gammaproteobacteria; Enterobacterales; Enterobacteriaceae.